This 497-nucleotide ribosomal RNA is filed under the name uncultured bacterium. Its description in RNAcentral is "partial 16S ribosomal RNA". It matches the Rfam family "Bacterial small subunit ribosomal RNA", at positions 28 to 507 of the family's 1533-position model. The record is from RNAcentral.
GAUGAACGCUGGCGGCGUGCCUAAUACAUGCAAGUCGAGCGGACGGACGAGAAGCUUGCUGCUCUGAUGUUAGGGGCGGGCGGGUGAGUAACACGUGGAUAACCUACCUAUAAGACUGGGAUAACUUCGGGAAACCGGAGCUAAUACCGGAUAAGAUUUUGAACCGCAGGGGUCAAAAGUGAAAGACGGUCUUGCGGUCACGUAUAGAUGGAUCCGGGCUGCAUUGGCUGGUUGGUAAGGUAACGGCUUACCAAGGCAACGAUGCAUAGCCGAGCGGAGAGGGUGAUCGCCCACACUGGAACUUAGACACCGACCUGACUCCUACGGGAGGGCGCAGUAGGGAAUCUUCCGCAAUGGUCGAAAGCAUGACGGAGCAACGCCGCGUGAGUUAUGACGGUCCUCCGAUCGUAAAACUCUGUUAUUAGGGAAGAACAUAUGUCUACGUAACUGUGCACAUCUUGACGGUACCUAAUCAGAAAGCCCCGGCUAACUACGUG